AUUGAACGCUGGCGGCAGGCCUAACACAUGCAAGUCGAGCGGUAGAAGGGAGCUUGCUUCCUUUGAGAGCGGCGGACGGGUGAGUAAUGCCUAGGAAUCUGCCUGGUAGUGGGGGAUAACGUUCGGAAACGGACGCUAAUACCGCAUACGUCCUACGGGAGAAAGUGGGGGAUCUUCGGACCUCACGCUAUCAGAUGAGCCUAGGUCGGAUUAGCUAGUUGGUGAGGUAAUGGCUCACCAAGGCGACGAUCCGUAACUGGUCUGAGAGGAUGAUCAGUCACACUGGAACUGAGACACGGUCCAGACUCCUACGGGAGGCAGCAGUGGGGAAUAUUGGACAAUGGGCGCAAGCCUGAUCCAGCCAUGCCGCGUGUGUGAAGAAGGUCUUCGGAUUGUAAAGCACUUUAAGUUGGGAGGAAGGGUAGUAGCUUAAUACGUUGCUACUUUGACGUUACCGACAGAAUAAGCACCGGCUAACUCUGUG
Molecule: ribosomal RNA, 484 nt
Filed under: uncultured organism
Description: bacterial SSU rRNA
Rfam family: Bacterial small subunit ribosomal RNA
Source: RNAcentral